UACUGCUGGUCCACCAGGAGAAUUCACCUGUAUAAUCUGAAUCAUUUUGUUGAGUUCUGGAGCCCACUGCACUACCAGGUGUCUUCACUCAGUCUCUGUAGGGCAAAGAGCAAGACCACCAGAGUGCUGGCAUUAGGAGACGCAAAUAGCAUCCAGAUCCUAUCCAGGUUGGACGGUAGUAAGCUAUGCAUUGUGCCACCACCCCCCUUUGUCUCUCCAAUUCAAAAAACACCCAACUUUGUGUACAGCAGAGAAAUAGGCAUAGUCGUUGUGCUUCUCAGCCCAUGGGAGGUGUGGGUCUAUACUGCCAGAACUGAUCCAGCCUGCAGAGUAGCAUUGUGGAAUAUACGGGACUUACAACACCAAGCAGAAGUUUACGAAAGAAA
Polyodon spathula (Mississippi paddlefish) is the source of this 386-nucleotide long non-coding RNA. RefSeq lists it as uncharacterized. Lineage: Eukaryota; Metazoa; Chordata; Actinopteri; Acipenseriformes; Polyodontidae. The record is from RefSeq and is a predicted model, not a curated record. The transcript has 3 exons.